GGGGAAUAUUGCACAAUGGGCGAAAGCCUGAUGCAGCAACGCCGCGUGAGUGAUGAAGGUCUUCGGAUUGUAAAGCUCUGUCUUUUGGGACGAUAAUGACGGUACCAAAGGAGGAAGCCACGGCUAACUACGUGCCAGCAGCCGCGGUAAUACGUAGGUGGCGAGCGUUGUCCGGAUUUACUGGGCGUAAAGGGUGCGUAGGCGGAUGUUUAAGUGAGAUGUGAAAUACCCGGGCUUAACUUGGGUGCUGCAUUUCAAACUGGAUAUCUAGAGUGCAGGAGAGGAGAAUGGAAUUCCUAGUGUAGCGGUGAAAUGCGUAGAGAUUAGGAAGAACACCAGUGGCGAAGGCGAUUCUCUGGACUGUAACUGACGCUGAGGCA
This 380-nucleotide ribosomal RNA is filed under the name uncultured bacterium. Its description in RNAcentral is "partial 16S ribosomal RNA". It matches the Rfam family "Bacterial small subunit ribosomal RNA", at positions 356 to 753 of the family's 1533-position model. The record is from RNAcentral.